UAGCAAUCUCCAAAGAAGAGAUUAUUCCAGAGUUCGACCAUGAAAACGAGAACGUAGCUGUAACCAAGGUGACCUUGAAUGGCCUAGACGAUGGCCCAAGAGAGGUACUUUGUCCACCGUCGACUACUACUCUAAGUACUCAGCUUUCAGAUACCGUGGACAAUGGUUGCACUCGAGAGUUGAACGGUAAUAUCCUCGUGGAAGAUACCAUCUUCGCCGGACAGAUUCCUCCUCCGCCUCCACCACCAAGGACCAGCUCCAGUCAAAAUCACUUGGAUACCUAUCUCAAAAAGCUUAGUAAAUCGAGUCACCAUUCUCCGGUGAAAAGGCAGUGGUCAGCGGGAGAGUGGCCUCUACAGCACGAGGAAUUAAACAAAGCCAGCGAAAAAGAAGUUCGUUUGAGAAAACCACCAAGACCAAAAUCCGAGGUGAUAUUCAACGGUGAUCGUGUCAGGUGUCAGCGGUACUCUGGUCUUGGGUUU
Molecule: long non-coding RNA, 482 nt
Organism: Limulus polyphemus (Atlantic horseshoe crab)
Lineage: Eukaryota; Metazoa; Arthropoda; Merostomata; Xiphosura; Limulidae
Exons: 3
Source: RefSeq, a predicted model, not a curated record